GGUGAGAGGGAGAAACCUGCCGCCGCUCGCCGCCUCUUUGUCUGCUCCGGGACUGGGAACAAAAGGGGGAACUCUGAUGAACUCUCUCUCCUCCCCUCUCCCCCGGACGCCCGGGUAUCUCCCUCUCGCAACUUUGCCUACGCGACUUUCUCUGCUGUCAGGCCACAAAAAAAGUGUCCUAGAGCCUCGCCGACUGCAACAAGGGAAACAGUGUCUCUCCAAAGUGCGACCAAGUGGGGAAGAAGGUGUGAUUCUUGUGAGCCUCUAAAAGCAUCAUGCAGUGGCUGGAGGACCUCUGGAGUUGACCUUCUGUGUCCUGCAGCGUUCUCACUGGAUCUAUCAGGGGGCCACCUGGAGUGCUGGUGCAUCAGACCCUUCCUGGAUGGGAAGCCACCAAACCCCUUCAAUUGGAGUUGCUUCAAAGUUACCUUGUUGGGAUUUGGGGCAAUGCCUUCCUCCUGUGGAUUACUACACUCUGGUGACUGGGAGACCUCCACCUGGAAAGCACCCAGGGGACGGCGGGCGAAGAGCUCACACAUCGGCCUAUCCAGGGAACCCUGCUGAAGAGAGGGUGUGCCGAGUCUUCCCCAGGGGCUCCCAAGUCCGCCCGCCUCACCCUCUGGGCGCCCAUACCUUCUCUGGGUGACAUUUGUUCCAGUGACAUACUUGGACUUCAGAGACCGCAGCCUUCUGAAAGCACAGCCUUCAGGCUGGGAAUUAAAUAAGAGCUAUCCAGUUGUGGUGAGCCUCUGAGUAGAGAUUUCUUGCACAUAUACCUGACAAGCUGUGCCCGUGAGAAUGAUCUCCAAAGCUGAAUCCUGUUUCCGAGUCCCCUCCGUGUGGCCUGGAGCAGCAGCAGCAGGCUCCUCCCGAGAAGAUGGCUGGAUGGAUGUCACAGGCCCGCGUGCCACUGUACAUGGAGCCUUCCCCACGGACAUAAGCUCUACAAAAGCAAGGCCCGUGCCCCAGGAUGACUGAGAGCACGACAGACCUUUCCAGGCCUCUGAGUGGACACUCAGCCUUCACACAGAGGCGCCGGCCCUUAAGCCAUUCAGAAUCCCCAGCAGCUGCACCAGGAAACAGCUGGAGAAGACUCUGCCCAGCAUCAACUAGGCGGCCUCGUGGGAGAGGAGAAGCUGCCUCGAUAGGCUUUGGUUGCAAACCCAGGAGUCACGACUGCGGGGACAGAUCUAGCAAUGCCACAGAGUUAAAUUUUCCUUUGGUUGGAUCUGGUAGGUUUUCCUGGGAUGAUUCUUUAUGGCGCCCUGUUCUUGACCUUGGUGUCCGUCACCUGGGCUCCCAGAACCUGCUCCUGCUUCAGCCUACAGCAGGACCUCGAUCUGCAUUUACACCCCUGAUUCAGGCCUCUUUAUUCUGCUUUGAGUGAGCACAGAUUCCGUCUCCUCCUGGCCACUGGGGUCCCUCACCUGUUUCUCCUGGUCACUUGUUGUGUCCCUGUAACCCCAAGGAGACCUGCACCCCCUAAGCCAUUCUUUCUACCAUUUAGUAGACAGAACAAGCACUUGGUUACUCUUCCAUUCUCUCCCAUUCAAGACCAGUGUGUUAAAACAGUGGAACUACACAUCGAGCCAGCCCACCAUGUAGACCCAAAUCGCCUCCAUGUCUCCGUGACCUCUCCUCCCGCCCACCUCCAGACUCUCCGGCCGUUGCCCUCAUUGCUGGUCCACCAUGGCGUGCAUAUUGCUGUGCUGCUGAGAAAUGCUCCGUGCCGUCCGGCCACUGCGGGACAGGCUGGGAGGUCGAGGGAGUCCAGGCUGCCCUGUACAAAUGGCACUUAGUUGUCCGUCUUGAUUCCAGAGUGAACACUGGGACCACCCCCCACCCCAUUUAGGGCAAGUGCAAAUGUAGUUUUAGGUUCUUACUGAAAAGGAGAAGGAUAUGAGUGCAAUUUCUACAUAAGUUGCUGAGAAACUAAAGCAAUAAAAUUCUAAGCAUUGAACUUGUCUUUAAUAUCCAACAGACUAAUACAUUUAUCUUUUGUGCUUUUUUAAAAAAACAAUGUUUUUAAAACCAUUGUGUUUAUUCACACCAUUGACUUGGGCCAUUUAUGUCUUAAGUAAAACCCGUAUGCCCUUAAUAAUAACGGUCAAUGCUCGAUAUGCAUUUUGACAUACACAUUAUAAUUCGCUGUAAUUGUUGCUAUGGUCACUUAAAAAGGCUCCAGUAAACCGAUACGAGGAUCACACAACUACUGACCUCUAAGUAACUACUAACGUCCAUUUUUCACCCUCUAGAGCCCAGGUUCCAAGAAACAAAACCAAGGGAAUAGACUACGUGGCCUCUGAAGUCCCCUUAGCUUAUCAUGUUUUAGAAUCUUGACUUCAUGGGCACUUCUUGCCUCAUUAAUCUCUCUUGCAGAAGAAAACGAGUGUCUGGUAACAUCUGAGCAUGUUUAUAAGAAUUGGAAGACUGCUGGGGUAAAGUGGCUGUUUCCUUCUCUCUAUUGAAGAUGACAUCAUCCUGAGUAUCUGGACAGGAUGCAUCUGAGCCUCACCUGUCCUGUGUGGUUAAAAAAAACAAAACAAAACUGGAUAAUAAGAUUUUCCCUGUUCAUUCAGAGCCAAGAAUGAGUUGAAAUUGGAUGGGGGUUGCAUCAGAGAUCUUGUAAUUUGAAAUGGACAAAGAUAAUCUCAUCAAGCUACUGAGGUUAGUAGAGCGUACACCUACUGUUUGCUUUCUGCACGCAGGGCGUUCUGCCCCGGGCUGACUGAGUGUUGAGUCGUACUGUUAUCCCCAUUUUUCAGAAAAGCCAGCUGAGGCUGACUGAGAUGUGGCUUCCCCACUGGCCUGCAGAGGAGGGUUGUGGAGCCUGACCAAUGUGUCCCGGUGACCACUGAUCUUGGGCUGCUGGCACUGUGAUCGUUCCUGCCGAUGCCAGGUGUCGGAUUGGAAUACCAUUUACAGGGUUGGGAUCCACCUCUGUCUCUGUCACUUGGGUCACGUAGAGCGGGUGCUGAAACUCACAGCCAGAUCUUUGCUGGUGUUUUGACUUAAUUAAAUGUUGAAUAAUAACGAAGGCGCACUUCUAUAGGAAGUGUGAAAACACUGUUUACACCUGACAAGAUCAGCUCCUUGUUGUGUCUGUCAAGGUAUGAGCAUGCAGAUUGUGAAGUGCUAGACGGAGGCAUGAGCUGUCAGCUUUCCAUUCUUAAAGUCAAGGACCAGUAGUACCCACAGAGAAAAAUGAGUAUUUUUUUCAGUUGUACUUUACCUUCUUGAAUACUCAUGGGGUGGCCUGAUUCCCGUUUUUAACACAAUUCCUUGCCUGUUUUUACAUCCUAAUAUGGUGUGCAAAAUGGUCUAGUUUACGGAAAAUCAAUUGAGCAAAAUUUCAAAAUGCCGACCUUUAGAUCUUUUACCUUGUUCUAAAGAUAGAUCGUAAUUCUAGUUUCAAUUUUUUUUUUCAGGAUCUUAACAUCAUUUUGAGCCAGGGUUCAAUGGUCAUUUUUUUUUUCCUUAAAAAAUUUUUUUUUUAUUUGCCCUGGGGAUCACACCAUGGCCUUGUGCGCAGCUGACAAGAGCUCUCUACUACUGUUCCACCCCCAACCUGAAUGGUCACUUUUUAUUCCUACCAAUUUAGACUCUGAGAGCCCUGGUUUCCAGUAUGAUGGUCCUUAAGGAAACGGAAUCACAGUAGACUGAACCUUCAGUUCCUCGAUUGCGGUAGCCUCAGUUGAGAUGUUUGGUGACAUGGUUGCUGGGCAGCCAGGGUGGAGAGGCUGGUAUGGAGCACUUCUAUCACUGCAAAAAGUCCUGCGGGACAGCAGUGCUCUAGGUCGUUUUAAUGGUUUGCUUUUGAUCCUCUGUUUAUUUGGGUGAAAACAUUGUGAAUCCGGUAUCACCCGCCAGACCUCAUAGCUGGAACAGGAUCUGGGGUACGGAGUGUGCUGGGGAACUCUGGGAGGGCUGCUGCUUACGUCAUGCGCCAUAGAACACCUAACAGCGAAGACCACUGUAAUUUUACCUUGUUUCCAACUCUGUGUUCUAAAUAAUUAUCAUUUUGUUAAAUACACCGACGGUGGUGCUGGUUUUGAUGGGUUGUACGUUUGAUGGAUUAAUUGGGUGAGAAGCAGCCUCAAACUCAGACUAAUUUAGUAUAAAAUCGAACACAGGGAGUCUUAAGUUACAGAACGACUUGUUUAAAGUUCACUCUGCAGACAGGAGACUGUCCUCUAGAAAUUCACCCUUGCGGGCCGGGGAGCUGAGCCCUGUCUGGUUGCUGUCUGUCCAAGUUCCUCAAGGCAAAGAAAGGAGACAAUGGAGCCUUGUUUUUUGACAGCUUGAUUGAAUGUAUUCAGUCCCAAGUUUUGAAUAAUCUGUUUAACUGGAGAUAUUUUGCACAGUGAAUACAAUUUCUUUGGUAUGAAAUUUAAUCCUCAUAGUAUCUUCAGCAUAAUUUUAAUGCUUGCCAGAUCUCUCUAUCUGCUACCCAGCGCUGGGUUGGUGUCCAAAUGCCUUUACUUGUUAAGAAAACCUCUACUCUGCAUUGCUGAUUUGUUAUCGGUAGUACCAGCUAGGAAACACAGAAAAUAUAUGUGUUUUAAAAAGUAAGGAAGAUGAUUGGUUUCCGUGUUCCUCUGGAUUGCUUCUCUGGAAGCAUACCGUCUUUGAUCCAUUUUCUCUCCCAACUCUUAUGUUUCUCAUUUACUGAUGAACACUAUAUAAAAGACAGUGUACAAACUGAACAAUGAGCUCCAUGGUAUUAAAAGAACAGGCCACCACCAAGCGCGCCUGUGAGAUUAAAAAUGAAUUUGGUGAACCAUUUUGUUAUUUUGAUUCGGCUGGCUCUGACUGUUCUUCAACAUCUUUUGCAAUUAUAAAUAUCUUCACUUAAAAUGGCGUGCUAUAUGUAUAAGUUUUAUUAUGAAGCUCUUUUUUUUUUUAAGCAGACCCCCAUGUAUGUCACAACCACAUCACCUCGGAGUCCUCCCAUGAGCCUUCCUUUAAGAGGUCUAUUUAUGGAAAAGCCUAAAGCGGCAGUGAGUGGGUGGGUUGGUGCCUCCAGUGAUAGAAUCUCAGCCUCCUGUUUAUCAUCCUUCACAGUCUAUCCCCCACCCCCAGAGCUCUCUUGGGCUGAGACUUAGCAAGCUUCUGUAGUCAAUCAAGAGUGCCUGCCAGCGUCAGUCCUGCAGAUGGACUUCACCACACUGGCGAGCCUAAGUUCUCUCUGCUUAAAUUACAACCUAAGAGACUGUGGUUGCCGUGCUUGAGAUUGGCUCUUCUGAAAGUGGCAAGUUGCUUAGGCUGCGUUUGCUGCCUCGGCCAGUUAGAUUUUUAAAUAGCUUAGAGGGUGUAGUCGGUACAAUCAUCUCUGUUCACCUCUGUGUCCAGUGGUUUCCCAGGACUCAAAUAGCCCCUGCGUCACUCUUCCUGAAGAAAGGGGAGGAAAGGCUUUCUUUUCGCAGGAGGUUGGUCUUUUAAAGUUUUGUUUUGCUCAGGUGUUCAAAACGGAAAUGUAAAAUGGUGGGGAGGGUGCUAGGUUCCCAAGUGGCAGUUGGCCCUCGGUGAACCGAGCCCGGAUACUUUCUGAACAUAAGGGUGUGGAGGAGCAAAUGAAGGAAGAGAGCAAAAUGCUGAUGGCCCGUCACUGAAAUGGCAUCGCUGGGCUUCUAGAAACUUCUCAUUGCGUGUAAAGGAAGCUGGGAGGCUACGAGGAGGUCUCAUGGUGUGGCUUCAGAAAUGCCAGGUCCUUGGCUCCUCAUCCCUGCUGGGGAUCACGAUCUGGGACAAAACAAGUGUAUAUUUCUAUUUUCUAUUUUUAUGUCUCUUGAUUUUCUAAUCUUUCCUAUUUGGCCAGCUUCUCUCUGAGAACAUAUUGUACACAUGUUCUGGGCCGUUUGAAGGCCCUCCGAGAGCCGGGAGUUGAUUGAAAGCUCUCAGUUCUAUGAAGUGGGUGGCCAGAGAACUGGGGCUGAACAGCUGGCACACACUCCUUGAACUUUUGUCAUUUAUAAAUUAUUUUCCAUGCCAUCUGGAGCAAGAAUGUUGCCAUGGCUUAGAGCUGCUCUGGGUGGGGUGCGCUCAGACAGCUUGCUCGCUGCCGCAGACAGAAUCUGCUCGCUCGGAGGCCUGAGGACGCGGGUACCUGUGAGUGGCCCCUGUAACUGUCCUGUGACAGAGGCCACCUCCACCGACAGUUUUCCCUCCCUCUCCCUGUUCCAGUGACUCCCUCCGGCCUGCCUCCAGCUCCAGUGGAAAACACAUUAAUCCCAGAGUCUCUGUGAGGCUUCCUGUUGGAUGACAUAAUCAGAAAACUCUCCUUACAUCGCCCUUGGGGUUGCUGUCUGGAGGCUUUGUCGUCUUGGUGGGCGUAAGGCAGCCAUCAGGAAAAUCAGCACAGACCGUAAACUGGGGGCCUGAAAUGCGUUCGUAUAACGUUAAAAGGAGUAAAGCCGUGGCAGGUCUGAGGCUGGGAGGAGUGGCAUUAAUCUGCAGAUUCUCGCUGGCAUUCAGAGGCACUGGCUGGUGACCAGGGUGCAUAUGGCAGGAGAGGCUGCCGAGGUCCCAGCAGGAGGUAUUUGAACUGCUCCGGAGUAAGCUGUUAGCCUCCACCUCCUGGAAAAACACCAGGAGCAGCGGGUUUGGUGGUGUGGGUUUUAGUGGGUUCCUCCCUCCGCCCCCUCUGGGGCAGCCUGUUUACUUAAUGAGUUUCGCCCUGGGUGUUGAUCACAGGAAGCUGGGAACAAGGAAAUUCGUGGGAAGAGUCAGAAAUAGAAGAUGAGGAGACAUUUCAAGAUGAGAACAGCAGAAGAUGGUAUCAUGUAAAGUGGGUUUCAAAGUUCUGAGGAUAUUAGGAGGCAAAAGUUUAGUAGCUGUGAAUUAGUUAGAAGGAACUUUGGUACGAAAGUAGAAGCGAGCGAGCGUAUUCUGUUUGGGUGCCAGAGGGCAGGCGCAGGUUUACAAGUUUAGAAGCUAUUGGCAUAGGAAAUGGAGCAUAUGCUUAAAUAUGGAUUUCCUGCGCUAUUUGGAGAAUCUUGCCUAUUUUCUGAUGCCGUUUUGGUAGGCUGCCCUACCCCUCCAUUUGGUUGGCUGGAUGGAGUUUCUCCUACCUUUGGAAAUCCAUGCCCUGUGGCACUUGGUCAAAAUGAGAAGGGAGAACAGGUCCCUUAGGAAAAUUCACAAGUUCUGGACACAAGCGACCUCCAGGCAUCUCCUUCUGCACAGACUCCAAAGAUGCUGCUUGGCAGAACUUCACGGAGAGGGUGAAGAGCAGAGAGAGAGGUCUUUAGCCCCAGAGUUGAAGGCCUGGGAAUGGUUGCCACCAUUUCUGCUUCCUGGUGUCCAGAAGGUCCCUUGGGUUUUCCAGAUUGUAUCCCAAGUAGUGUUGAAUACCUUGUACAGAUGCGACCCCUGUGGUCGGGGAGUCUCUGCUAAGAUCGUGUGUGUGGUGUAUACAUGGCUAUCGUGAACUUUUUUUUUUUUUUUUUUGAAUAACUACUCCAUAAACUUGGAAUUCUGGGAUUUAGGCUCUGUGAUCUAUUUUCCUGUGUGGUGUCGUAGUGAUCAUAUGAUUGAGCUGUUAGCGUUCACUUUAAAAUAUGUUUAUUUAGCCAUCAUAUACCUUACACUGAAUACUGAACCCCAGGGUUGAAAGGAUCUUAAAUAUCACAUCUGCUGGAUACAUCUCUUUCCCCAGUGGGUUGUGACCUACAGAGAGAAGGGAGAACUACAGCCCUUUUUGUUCUAGAUUACAAAACGCAGGUUGGUGGGAUGAGCUAGCUCGCCAUCCUGGAAGUCGGGCGGUAUGUUCCAGGACCUCCGUGUGAACGGGCCCACCCCAGUGCUCUGCCCCAAGUCGAUUCUCAGAUCCUGCUUCUCCCUUCUGCUUGUCAAGAUUUUUUUUUUUUUGAAUCUUGUAUCUCUAGUUGUUGCCUGUCUCAGAUUUUGGUCAAAAACGUACAGUUGAGACUUGAGACUUGAGGAUAAAUUCCAGCUCUGCGAUUUUCUGGCUUUGUUACACCAAACGAGUCCUUUAACUGCCCUGAGUCUCGGUUUCCUCUCUUCCAAAAUGGAAGCGUGGACGUCCUGACUCCCUUUGGAAUAGCUGUGAGGGUCAGGGACACUGGAUGUAGAGACAGUGGGGACAGAAGGGAGAGGAGAAAGCACCACACAGAUAUUGGAUUUUAUUUGUUCGUAUGAAUAUAAGACAGAUAUUCCUCAGGCUUCAUCCAGGUCCUUGGUUAAAAAAUAAAAAGGUGACACAGAGGGACCCAGGACAAGGCCCCACCUAGGGACCUUCCCUACACCGCCCGCCACUGGAGGCCCACAGCAGGGCUGGUUGGCCCUCUCGCCACUGGACUGGCGUCCUCCUGAGUUUUAAAAUCUUGUCCUUUAAGUUGUCAUGAGAGCCCUUGUCACAUUCCCCACUCACGUCCAAACAUGUGCUGGCCACUGUAUUUCCCUGGUGUGCCCAGCUGCUCGCCCUCCAGAGGAGGAGAGGCUCUGCCCUGUCCCUGCUGACCCCGUGCCGCCUGCCAGGACUGCUGCCUGCUUCUCUGGAGCCGUCACAAACCGUCCUUUGAACGUGCUGCCAAGAACCUGGUCCAGGAUCAACAGCAACAGCCGCGGUGGCCUGGAGGGUUGGGACUCUCCCUUUUGGUUUUUCUUUCUUGUCUUCUUGAAAGUGGGACCUUCCUUUCCCUCAUCUCCAGUCCUCUCGUUGUCUUUCUCCGUCAGUAUUUACAAGAAAGGCAACCGAAGAGCAGUCCCUCCUGUCCACAUCCGGGUGCCCCCCACAGGGCUGCUCUGGUGGCUCCACUUAGCAGCCGUGCCGUGGGCUCAUGAUUAGAAAGUCCUCCUGGUUAAAGUCUGGGAAGGCCUUGGAAGUGUGUUCUUAAAUAUGAUAAAUGCAUCUUUGAACCCAGUGCAGUCCAUUACUCGGCCAGGGGGCGCGUUUUGCAGAUUUGGAGAUGAGUAAACAGCCUCUUGACAGCUUUGAUAAAGUCUUCAAGUGCUGAGCUGGAAUUUGGAUUUAGACCUCCCGACUGCAGAGCCUCUGAGUUGCCACUGUAUCACCAUGUCACUCUAAGUGAUGUUUUCCAUUUGACUUUGGCUUUUCUUUUACUUAUCAUUAAGAUGACCCUGCAGAGUGUGACCUUUAAUGUGGGCUGUGUCAGUGGGAAUUGCUUUAAUAAAGCUGUAAUUUAUUAAUAAGUUGAGGGAAUGUUGACUUGGGCUUCUUCAUGAAUUUUACAGAAAUUUACUGAUGAAAACAGUGCUGUCUUUAUGGAUUGCUAGUCACAAGUAGAGAUUUUGCUUUGUUUAUUUCAAAUGAAUUGAUAGUUCCUUCCUCUAAUACUUAUCAAUCAGUGCAUAGCAGUUUCCAUUGGUAAGGAUACCGCACCAAAAGAAAUCAAUUCUCCUUUGUCAUUUUGACAAGAAUGAGCCAUAAAGGUGGUGAUACGAUAGGAAAGUACCCACAGGCUAAGGCCCAAAGUAAUUUUAUAAAAAUCAAAAUUGUCCCAAGAAUAUUUUGCAAUCCAUGGUAACAAAAGGCUUUGCCCCUGGUUCCUAGAGUGAGGAUUCGCUUCUUUCUAGUAUAAGACGAUGUCAUUGCAACACUCUGGUCCCACUGCAGAAGGGCUCAAGAUCCUAGAUGCUCUGUUUCCCAAGGCUUGGGUUGGAAUCUAAACCAUUUUAAUAGGGAACUAUAUAAGAAAAACCUGGUGUAAUGCCUGAAAAAUGUACAGUUAGCGACCUGGUGCAUAAGGCUGUCUGCUGGCUCCAAGACAGGAUUUCAGUGGGAGUGGCCCAAAAGGGUCUUUGCAAAGGAGAAUUCUCCCUAACACGGGCUGGCCCGUGGGAAGUUUGCACUAGCAGGAAUCGGGUCAGACCACAGCUCUGUGUACACGGUGUUACUCAGAGCAUGUUAGAAGGCAGCAGCCCCCAGAUGUUGCAUCCAUGGGUCUUAUCUGAAAAGGUCACAGCUGGCACAUGAAUGUGGCCAUGAAUGAGGCCAGAAUUAGGGCAUCCCAGCUCCAGGGUACUCACGGGAAAUUCCCUUUAAAAGUUUGAAAAUUAGGCAUUGAAUGUCUUCUCUGCUUAGCUGUGUGAUACAAUGUAUUCAGGAAAAUUUAUACUUCUUUUGGCUCAUGUUUAUCUAUCCCAAGGCUGAACAAUUUUAAACCGCUUUUGGCCCCUGCCUUGGAGGAUGCUGCCUGGCUUUUGAUUUAUAUAACUUAUGUAGGUCAAAUCCUUGACUAGAAAGUCCUCUAAAUAAGGUUUUACUUCUGAAUCUCAGGGUUUAAAUAGAUUUGGAGGAAAAUGUGCUUAACUAAAUGGUUUCCCUAAAGUGAGUAAGGCAGUAAGAACUGAGUAUUUUUUCAUUUGGAACUUUUUUUAAUAUAUAUAUAUAUUUUUAGGUUACCAUCUUUUUAGAAACACAAAUGUAGUUUUAUAUGCUUGUUUCUCCUAGG
Marmota monax (woodchuck) is the source of this 10436-nucleotide long non-coding RNA. RefSeq lists it as uncharacterized. The transcript is spliced from 7 exons. The record is from RefSeq and is a predicted model, not a curated record. NCBI's taxonomy places the organism in Eukaryota, Metazoa, Chordata, Mammalia, Rodentia, Sciuridae.